UGAGGAAUAUUGCGCAAUGGAGGCAACUCUGACGCAGCCAUGCCGCGUGCAGGAGGACGGCCCUACGGGUUGUAAACUGCUUUUCUUAACCAAGAACCGUGGAUACUCUUAUCCACCUGACUGGUUUUGGAAUAAGCAUCGGCUAACUCCGUGCCAGCAGCCGCGGUAAUACGGAGGAUGCAAGCGUUAUCCGGAUUCACUAGGUUUAAAGGGUGCGUAGGCGGAAUAAUAAGUCAGUGGUGAAAUCUUGCGGAUCAACCGUAAAAUUGCCAUUGAUACUGUUAUUCUUGAGUAUGGUUGAGGUAGGCGGAAUGAGUAAUGUAGCGGUGAAAUGCUUAGAUAUUACUCAGAACACCGAUUGCGUAGGCAGCUUACCAAGCCAUCACUGACGCUGAGGCACGAAAGCGUGGGUAGCAAACA
Molecule: ribosomal RNA, 420 nt
Filed under: uncultured bacterium
Lineage: Bacteria
Description: bacterial SSU rRNA
Rfam family: Bacterial small subunit ribosomal RNA
Source: RNAcentral